Molecule: RNase P RNA, 357 nt
Filed under: Rickettsiales bacterium TMED127
Lineage: Bacteria; Pseudomonadati; Pseudomonadota; Alphaproteobacteria; Rickettsiales
Also listed under: 1 other name
Description: RNase P RNA component class A
Rfam family: Bacterial RNase P class A
About the family: Ribonuclease P (RNase P) is a ubiquitous endoribonuclease, found in archaea, bacteria and eukarya as well as chloroplasts and mitochondria. Its best characterised activity is the generation of mature 5'-ends of tRNAs by cleaving the 5'-leader elements of precursor-tRNAs.
Source: RNAcentral
CUAGAUGAUUGAAUGGCUGCUCUAUUAAUUACAGAGAGGAAAGUCUGGACUCCAUAGAGUAACAGUGCCGGAUAAUAACCGGCGAGGGUGACCUCAGGGAAAGUGCCACAGAAAAUAUACCGCCUUUAUUAGGUAAGGUUGAAAUGGUAAGGUAAGAGCUUACCGCAAGAAUGGUAACAUUUUUGGCAAGGUAAACCCCAUUGGGAGCAAGUCUAAGUAUGCACACUCAUUUAAGUGAAAACGCUACUCUACGUUGUGCAAGGUGAGACGCAAGAGGUAUUUGGUAACAAAUAUCCAAGAUGAAUAGCCAUUACUUUUUUAAAAGAACAGAAUCCAGCUUAUAGAUCAUCUAGUUUU